GAGAAAAAUAUUUGGUCUCUAGUUGAGUACCAAUGUUUGCUACAGAAAAUUUCCAAACAAAAGGCCAAUAUAAAUAUAAAAAUUAGCUAACAUCCCAUGAAGUUAGUUUCAAUAUUUUCUUAACAAAAAUCAUAGCUAAUCAACAUCGAUCUCAAGCUAGACUAUAAUAUCAAGUUUUGCAUAACUUCCAUAGUAAAAUAAUAAUGAUCUUUUGCAUCUUCUAAGCUUGCAUCUUGACUUGUAACUUCAAUCUUCAAAAUCUGUAAAUACAAAAAUUUUGAAAAGACCAUAAGUAACUAUUGGUAUAUAUAAGGAGUAAUAUGUAAAUUUACACUAAAUUAGUUACACUGCUCAUCGCAAAAAAAAACUCUAACAUUCAGCAAAGGUUAUAUAGAAAUGUCAACAAGAUGCAAGAAUAUAAGAAAAUUAAUUAGGAAAGCUUUGAUAUGCAUUAACCAAGAAUUCAAAUCUAUUUCAAAACACAGAAAUUUGAGGACAAGAGAUAGUAAAAAAUGGAGAAAUUCUCCAUCAAGAAUGUAUGCUAUGGAUACUUUAGAGACUCUAUCAACAUCUCUUUAUAUAGAGUGCAGAUGGAUACCUGAGGUCGAAGGNNNNNNNNNNNNNNNNNNNNNNNNNNNNNNNNNNNNNNNNNNNNNNNNNNNNNNNNNNNNNNNNNNNNNNNNNNNNNNNNNNNNNNNNNNNNNNNNNNNNUGCUGUUUAAGGGCAUGGAAGAGUUGACGAACUGUGUGGACCACUAAAAACAGAGGCACCAUCUUGUUGGGAAAUAUGCCUUAGGUAAUAAAGGUCUUGAAGAGGAACUUGGACAUAAAGAUCAGGGCAGCUCUAAUUUCAUGAAAAACUUUUACAGCAUCAACUACUUCUAGAUUUCUUUUUAAACUUUGUUGCUACUCUUGUAAUAAACAGUUGCAAUUUAUUGGUAGUAGGUACUCUUUCGAGUCUAGAACAGGUUGUUAUGUUGUCUGCUUUGAGAUGGAAGUCAUGCCUUUUUAUGGGGAAAAAAAUGUAGAGGAGAGUAUGCAUUGAUUCAAGAGAAGACAAUAGAGGCAAUUCCGAAAGGAACUAGUAGCAGCAUGCUAGAGGUCUGAUAUUGGAUAAUAUUCAUAGAAUGGUAUUAUUCAUCUCACUAGAUGCUCUUAAAUUAUAAAAGUACUGAAAAAAGACUUCAAGUGUUUCCUAUCAGAACUUCAAGUAUAAAAUUUGAAAUCUGAUCCAAAUUUGUUCAUGACUAAAAUUAUUAUGGUUUCCUCGUAGUCGUAGAGUUUCCUAUCAGAACUUCUAUUGUCCAGUUAGUAGAGUAUCACUAGUCUAAAUCGUCUAUAAUUUUCAAGUUUAUAUGUCUUGAUGUAGUAGGUUGGGAGACAAAAACAGAUUGCAUUCGAAAGUGUAUCACAAGUCUAAAAGGUUUACAGAUUGCAUUCACAGUGAUUGUAUUAAAUCCCAGAGAACCAUCAAUUGCAUUCACAAUGAAUCCUAAAACUUCCAUGUUAAAAAGAACCAUUACGUAAUAGAAAGUGCUUCCCCGAAAAUUGAGGUAGUACAGAAUGAUGAAAUCCUAGAAGGAAUGCUAUUUGACCUUUAGCUUGAUACAAGAAUUAACAUCUAACCACAAGAAUCAAAAAGAUGAAAUUGAUGAUUUGAUGGAUUCUAUAAAUUCUUUGGAAAAUGAGUUUUAUGAAGCUGUUUGUAAAGGUCAAUCGCUUGAAGUUCAGUUGCAGGAAAAUAUAAGAUAGUUGUUUUGAAGACGGAUAUCUCACGAACGUGCAAGGACACAAAAUUGUUUUCAUGUAAAAACUCGGAGCUGACUGCCAGUGCCAAGGAAACCAUAGAAGGAAAAUGUUCCAUUGAGGAGGAAUUGUUAGAGAAAAGGAAUGUUUGUGAGAACUUACAUAUUGAAAUUACCAAGUAUGAUGAUACUGUUAGCAAAAUAAGUAAUUCAAUUGAAUGUUCGUAGAGAAAUCUGAAUGGUGUUACUAGUAAGAAGGAAGACCUCCAUAGAGAAAUUCUCAUGUUCCAAAAGAAACUAGAGACAACACAAACUCUUGCGGAGGAAAGUGAAGAAAUUUCCAUAGAAGCAAAAUGGGUGGAGUUGUGCUUUAAGCUACUUUCUUCAGUUACUAACCUCUGAUGUUUUUUUAUUUUUUCAUUUUUUCCGGCUCCCCAUUUUCUUACAACAAUAUUCUAUUCAUGUUAGGUGGCCGAGAUAGCAAAACUCCAGGCUGAUGAGAAAGAAGAGGAGGUUAAAUUAUUUGAGAGGUUUGUUGAAGAACUAAAAUGCAUAGUGAAUGUACUGGAUAAGGAGAUACUCAUUCUUGGCCAAGCUAAAUGUAUUUAUCUAUAUAUUUAUCAUUGAAUAAUCUGACUUAACUUUUCACAGGAGAGGCUGAGCAACAACAGUUACAAAGAAAGAGGCUAGAAAUGGAACUUCAUGCCAUCAAGCAACAAAUGAACUUCAUGAUUGAAAUUCCUAAUUUAUUCACGUUAGUACGCAGGUGGAUAGAAAUCUCUUAGGAAUUAGUGGCAUGUUACUACGUACCUGGAUCAGUUUUAACAAUUUCACCACUUUUACCGCCUUCUCUGUUAGCCUUAAAAGUUGAACAAUAGUUCACUUGUUACUCAAGAUGGAUUUCUCAAGCUUAAUACAACUUGCUCUAUCUUCUAUCAGAACAUUAUUUUAGCUCAUUGAGCUGCGAGUUCCUCUGUUCAAGAAAGGUUCAUUGUUCUCUUACUAUUAUAGAACACUAAGUUCUCCUACGAUUGAUCCCCUUCAUUGUUGGGAUCUUAUCACACGACAAAUUUAAAUCUAUUUUAAAAUACACAAGAAGUUAUCUAAGAGAAGAACAGUAACCUGAACAAGAAGAGUCACUCAAACAAGAAGACUAACUCGAACAAGAAGAGUAACUCGAAGAAACAAACAACACACCUAAUUAGAGAAUAAAUAGAAAUCAACUCGCAUUUAAUACAACUCUCUCAAUCGUCUCUUAAACACUAUUUUAGUUCAUUUAGCUGCGAGUUCUUCUGUUCAAGAACGGUUAUGAAGAUCCCCUUCAUAUUUUGGAUCUUAUCACACCACAAACUUUAAUAUAUUUUUAAAACAUGACUAGCUAGUAUAGAAGAAAAAGAGUAAAUCAAACAAGAAGGGUUAUAAAUCGCACAAAACAAACAACAAAUCAUAUUUAGAGAUGAAAAAAAUCAACUCGCGAAGGUGCACAUACCUAAGAUUCGAGUAAGAUAGAAAACAGAGAUUGAGUUGAGAUCGCUUUUAGGCAGACCUGUGCUUUUUCUAUUUUGAGAAAACACAGAAAAAUCGUUGAGAGCUAUAAUCUACGCUGAGAUUGCUGCUAGGCAGAUGCUGCUAGGGUUUUCUGAUUCGGGACACUGUUUUGAAAAACAAAGCGUCUUUUGUUUUUGUUUUUUUAGAAUUUUAGUUACACUACUUAUGUUUUGG
Molecule: long non-coding RNA, 3466 nt
Filed under: Solanum tuberosum (potato)
Lineage: Eukaryota; Viridiplantae; Streptophyta; Magnoliopsida; Solanales; Solanaceae
Description: long non-coding RNA (STUB_LNC007264)
Source: RNAcentral